This 304-nucleotide long non-coding RNA is filed under the name Elaeis guineensis (African oil palm). Its description in RNAcentral is "long non-coding RNA (EGUI_LNC051627)". Lineage: Eukaryota; Viridiplantae; Streptophyta; Magnoliopsida; Arecales; Arecaceae. The record is from RNAcentral.
CUUGAUUGUAUGAGAUAUAAAGGUGAUUGGUUUUAGUUUAAGUGAAAGAUUGAAAGAAGAGUGUCCUAUAAGCCAAUCACAAGUGUAUUGCGAUGAAAUUUUUCUUUAUAAUUUUUUAACUCAUAAAAUGAUAUUUAUUAUUUGAGAUAUUAAUUUAUCAUAUUAGCUACAUCUUAUUAUGUCUAAGGUUAUAAUGAAUCUCAAAGAUUAGAACAAUAGUUUUAAGAGACAUAAAUGGGUCAUGCUAGUAAGACCUAAAAUCUUAAAAUUCUAAUCUUAAACAUUCCUGAUCGUAGGAGCAUUG